GACGAACGCUGGCGGCGUGCCUAAUACAUGCAAGUAGAACGCUGAAGGAGGAGCUUGCUUCUCUGGAUGAGUUGCGAACGGGUGAGUAACGCGUAGGUAACCUGCCUGGUAGCGGGGGAUAACUAUUGGAAACGAUAGCUAAUACCGCAUAAUAUUGACUAUUGCAUGAUAGUCAGUUGAAAGGUGCAACUGCACCACUACCAGAUGGACCUGCGUUGUAUUAGCUAGUUGGUGGGGUAACGGCUCGCCAAGGCGACGAUACAUAGCCGACCUGAGAGGGUGAUCGGCCACACUGGGACUGAGACACGGCCCAGACUCCUACGGGAGGCAGCAGUAGGGAAUCUUCGGCAAUGGACGGAAGUCUGACCGAGCAACGCCGCGUGAGUGAAGAAGGUUUUCGGAUCGUAAAGCUCUGUUGUAAGAGAAGAACGAGUGUGAGAGUGGAAAGCUCACACUGUGACGGUAUCUUACCAGAAAGGGACGGCUAACUACGUG
RNAcentral lists this ribosomal RNA (495 nucleotides) under uncultured bacterium. Its description in RNAcentral is "partial 16S ribosomal RNA". It matches the Rfam family "Bacterial small subunit ribosomal RNA", at positions 28 to 507 of the family's 1533-position model. The record is from RNAcentral.